AACUUUCAGCAAUGGAUCACUUGGCUCUCGCAUCGAUGAAGAACGCAGAGAAAUGCGAUAAGUAAUGUGAAUUGCAGAAUUCAGUGAAUCAUCGAAUCUUUGAACGCACCUUGCGCCCUUUGGCAUUCCAAAGGGUAUGCCUGUUUGAGUAUCAUGAAAUUCUCAACUCUCCUCGGAUUCCAUCCGUAGGGUGAGCUUGGACUUGGAGGUUUCUACUGGCGUUCGCCGGCUCCUCUUGAAAUCAUUAGCUUUGAGUUGAUCUUGAUGGCUUGGCCGGUGUGAUAAACAUCUACGCCGAUUCAUGCCGUCCUGAGCGACGACGUCGGAUACUCUCUGGCUUAUAACCGUCUUCACUGAAGGACGUCGCCCUGAACCUUUGAUCUCAAAUCAGGUAGGACUACCCGCUGAACUUAAGCAUAUCAAUAAGCGGAGGCU
Molecule: unclassified non-coding RNA, 435 nt
Filed under: uncultured Tomentella
Lineage: Eukaryota; Fungi; Basidiomycota; Agaricomycetes; Thelephorales; Thelephoraceae
Description: sequence contains ITS2
Rfam family: 5.8S ribosomal RNA (bases 1-154)
Source: RNAcentral